CAGCCGCCACGGGAAUACGAGGGGGGCAAGCGUUGUUCGGAAUUAUUGGGCGUAAAGGGCGCGUAGGCGGUUUGGCAAGUUUGGUGUGAAAUCUUCGAGCUCAACUCGAAGUCUGCAUCGAAAACUGCCGGGCUUGAGUAUGGGAGAGGUGAGUGGAAUUUCCGGUGUAGCGGUGAAAUGCGUAGAUAUCGGAAGGAACACCUGUGGCGAAAGCGGCUCACUGGACCAUUACUGACGCUGAGGCGCGAAAGCUAGGGGAGCAAACAGGAUUAGAUACCCCCGUAGUCCCUGUCUCUUAUAC
Molecule: ribosomal RNA, 301 nt
Filed under: uncultured bacterium
Lineage: Bacteria
Description: partial 16S ribosomal RNA
Rfam family: Bacterial small subunit ribosomal RNA
Source: RNAcentral